ACGUGACGCCAGUUGCGUUGGAGCCGUCCUUGAAAUACCACCCUUGUAUGUUUGAUGUUCUAACUUAGACCCGUUAUCCGGGUUGAGGACAGUGCCUGGUGGGUAGUUUGACUGGGGCGGUCUCCUCCCAAAGAGUAACGGAGGAGCACGAAGGUGGGCUAAUCACGGUUGGACAUCGUGAGGUUAGUGCAAUGGCAUAAGCCCGCUUAACUGCGAGAAUGACGGUUCGAGCAGGUGCGAAAGCAGGUCAUAGUGAUCCGGUGGUUCUGUAUGGAAGGGCCAUCGCUCAACGGAUAAAAGGUACUCCGGGGAUAACAGGCUGAUACCGCCCAAGAGUUCAUAUCGACGGCGGUGUUUGGCACCUCGAUGUCGGCUCAUCACAUCCUGGGGCUGAAGUCGGUCCCAAGGGUAUGGCUGUUCGCCAUUUAAAGUGGUACGCGAGCUGGGUUUAGAACGUCGUGAGACAGUUCGGUCCCUAUCUGCCGUGGGCGUUGGAAGAUUGAAGGGGGCUGCUCCUAGUACGAGAGGACCGGAGUGGACGAACCUCUGGUGUUCGGGUUGUGUCGCCAGACGCAUUGCCCGGUAGCUAAGUUCGGAAUUGAUAAGCGCUGAAAGCAUCUAAGCGCGAAGCGAGCCCUGAGAUGAGUCUUCCCUGAUACUUUAAGUAUCCUAAAGGGUUGUUCGAGACUAGAACGUUGAUAGGCAGGGUGUGUAAGCGUUGUGAGGCGUUGAGCUAACCUGUACUAAUUGCCCGUGAGGCUUAACCAU
Molecule: ribosomal RNA, 768 nt
Filed under: Vibrio cholerae
Lineage: Bacteria; Pseudomonadati; Pseudomonadota; Gammaproteobacteria; Vibrionales; Vibrionaceae
Description: partial 23S ribosomal RNA
Rfam family: Bacterial large subunit ribosomal RNA
Source: RNAcentral